CACGAUCUUAAUUUUCAAAAAACUCUUCGUUUCGUUUGUUCAAAUUUGAAUUUUCUUUAGUAAAAAACAGGAAGUGAAAGCCAAUAUGGCGGGAACAGAUCUACCACAAAAUCUCCCUUUUCUUUACCUCGGCUUGCUUCAGAUAAAUCCAGAGGAGGCCAGAAUUGCUCUGAUUCAAGAUGAAAUAUCCACCGCUGGAUCUGAUGAAGGAGUUUAAGGUACUAAAACGGCACUGGUUCUAUUAUUUGCGUAUCUGAAUGAAUCAAGGAUUACUUUUUGUUUUUGUAAUUAAACAUAUAUUUAAAACUUUUGCAUGGAUUAUUUGACGAUUAAAGAAGCAAAAAUAAGAUAAAAACAUCACCUAUGUCUUUUUAAUUUAUGCAGAGAUUAGUUUA
Molecule: long non-coding RNA, 395 nt
Organism: Gossypium raimondii (Peruvian cotton)
Lineage: Eukaryota; Viridiplantae; Streptophyta; Magnoliopsida; Malvales; Malvaceae
Exons: 2
Source: RefSeq, a predicted model, not a curated record